UACGUAGGUGUCAAGCGUUGUCCGGAUUUAUUGGGCGUAAAGCGCCCGCAGGCGGUUCGUUAAGUUCGAGGUGAAAUCUCCUGGCUCAACUGGGAGGGGUCUUCGGAUACUGGCGGACUUGAGGAGAGCAGAGGUGAGUGGAAUUCUCGGUGUAGUGGUGAAAUGCGUAGAUAUCGAGAGGAACACCAGCGGCGAAGGCGGUUCACUGGGCUCCACCUGACGCUGAGGCGCGAAAGCGUGGGGAGCAAACGGG
This 253-nucleotide ribosomal RNA is filed under the name uncultured bacterium. RNAcentral's name for it is "partial 16S ribosomal RNA". It matches the Rfam family "Bacterial small subunit ribosomal RNA", at positions 524 to 776 of the family's 1533-position model. The record is from RNAcentral.